Molecule: long non-coding RNA, 368 nt
Organism: Anneissia japonica
Lineage: Eukaryota; Metazoa; Echinodermata; Crinoidea; Comatulida; Comatulidae
Exons: 3
Source: RefSeq, a predicted model, not a curated record
ACGUGAAUAAUCAAUAAUCCAUAGAAAACUUAAUCUUAUACUGUAAUAAUCAAAUGAGAUAUUUAAUACACUAUACGUUUAUUUUUUAGGUGUUGACUAUUGCAUUUCCAGUCCAUGUGAAAAUGAAGGGAAUUGUAUACCUCCUUAUUCUGAGUUUACAUGUGAAUGUAAACCAGGCUACAGUGGGAGAUAUUGUGAAAAUGAGUAUUCCGGUGCAGCCUGUUCUAGUAGUACAGGUUUGACAAUUGGUAUGUUCUUUGUGGGCAUCAUUGUUGGAGCCUUCGGAGUAAUUGGUGGAUUGAUCGGCUACACUAGGAUUAAACAGAAGGCACAAGAGGACAAGAGGAGUACGGAUAGGAAAAAGCAAG